Molecule: small nuclear RNA, 142 nt
Filed under: Rhipicephalus sanguineus (brown dog tick)
Lineage: Eukaryota; Metazoa; Arthropoda; Arachnida; Ixodida; Ixodidae
Description: U4 spliceosomal RNA
Rfam family: U4 spliceosomal RNA
About the family: U4 small nuclear RNA (U4 snRNA) is a component of the major U2-dependent spliceosome. The structure of U4 snRNA from yeast and human has been reported.
Source: Rfam by way of RNAcentral
AGCUUUGCGCAGAGGCAGUGUCGCAUCCAAUGAAGUUCUAACUGAGGAGCGACUAUUGCUAGUUGAAAACUUUUCCCAAUACCCCGCCUGGACGACGUGCAAUACCGUCGGCCGUGGCAAUUUUUGGAAGGCCUUCACGGGC